RNAcentral lists this ribosomal RNA (253 nucleotides) under uncultured bacterium. RNAcentral describes it as "partial 16S ribosomal RNA". It matches the Rfam family "Bacterial small subunit ribosomal RNA", at positions 524 to 776 of the family's 1533-position model. The record is from RNAcentral.
UACAGAGGGUGCGAACGUUGUUCGGAAUUACUGGGCAUAAAGCGCACGUAGGCGGUCCUGUAAGUGUGGAGUGAAAUCCCACGGCUCACCCGUGGAACAGCUCCGCAUACUGCAGGACUCGAGGACGGUAGGGGAGAGCGGAACUCCUGGUGGAGCGGUGAAAUGCGUAGAUAUCAGGAGGAACACCGGCGGCGAAGGCGGCUCUCUGGUCCGUUUCUGACGCUGAGGUGCGAAAGCCAGGGGAGCAAACGGG